RNAcentral lists this ribosomal RNA (508 nucleotides) under uncultured bacterium. RNAcentral's name for it is "partial 16S ribosomal RNA". It matches the Rfam family "Bacterial small subunit ribosomal RNA", at positions 899 to 1397 of the family's 1533-position model. The record is from RNAcentral.
ACUCAAAUGAAUUGACGGGGGCCCGCACAAGCGGUGGAACAUGUGGUUUAAUUCGAAGCAACGCGAAGAACCUUACCAGGGCUUGACAUCUAGCGAAUCCUGUGGAAACACGGGAGUGCCUUUCGGGGAACGCUAAGACAGGUGGUGCAUGGUUGUCGUCAGCUCGUGUCGUGAGAUGUUGGGUUAAGUCCCGCAACGAGCGCAACCCUCGUCGUUAGUUGCUAGCAAGUGCAUGCACUUGUUAAGCUCUCUAGCGAGACUGCCGGUGAUAAACCGGAGGAAGGUGGGGAUGACGUCAAAUCAUCAUGCCCCUUAUGUCCUGGGCUACACACGUGUUACAAUGGGCGUGACAACGAGCAGCCAGCCGGCGACGGUGAGCAAAUCUCUUAAACACGUCCUCAGUUCGGAUCGUAGUCUGCAACUCGACUACGUGAAGUCGGAAUCGCUAGUAACCGCAGAUCAGCACGCUGCGGUGAAUACGUUCCCGGGCCUUGCACACACCGCCCGU